RNAcentral lists this ribosomal RNA (521 nucleotides) under uncultured bacterium. RNAcentral's name for it is "bacterial SSU rRNA". It matches the Rfam family "Bacterial small subunit ribosomal RNA", at positions 20 to 518 of the family's 1533-position model. The record is from RNAcentral.
UGGCUCAGAACGAACGCUGGUAGCGUGGAUUAGGCAUGCAAGUCGGACGGGAUCGGCUGGUUAGCAAUAAUCGGCCGUGAGAGUGGCGGACUGGGGAGGAACACGUGAGCAACUUGCCCGCAGGACGGGGAAAACCGUUGGAAACGACGGCUAAUACCGGAUGCGGCGCGCAUGGGACAUCCCGUGCGCGCCAAAGGGGGCCCAAAAGGCUCCCGCCCGCGGAGAGGCUCGCGCACCAUCAGCUUGUUGGCGGGGUAACGGCCCACCAAGGCUUACGGUUAGCUGGUCUGAGAGGAUGACCAGCCCCACUGGGACUGAGACACUGCCCAGACUCCUACGGGAGGCUGCAGUCGAGGAUCAUUUGCAAUGGGCGAAAGCCUGACAAUGCGACGCUGCGUGGAGGAUGAAGGCCUUCGGGUUGUAAACUCCUGUCAUGGGGGAACAGGCGAGGGGACCCAAUACGUCCCUUAGUUGAGUGUACCCCAAGAGGAAGGGACGGCUAACUCUGUGCCAGCCGCUGC